UAGGAGUGUAGGGAAAGGGUCUUUGCACAUACAGAUCAUCAAUCCAACCAACAAUCCUAAAAUGAAGGCUAUCGUUAUCAUCUGCAUUCUGCUGGCUUCCCUUCUUUUCUCGUCCCCUUCAAUUAUUGUGGCUCGCGAGCUGGCUGAUCGGGAUGGAAGUUCUGUCGGAACAAAGAAUCCCAACAAGCCAGGAAUAUCAUGCGGAAGGCCUAGCGAUCCUAAAUAUAGUUCUUGCGUAGGAAAACCAAAGCCCAGCAAGUGUGAUCCAAAAAGUAAAGUAUAUAACCGUUGCAAGCCACCUCAAGGACCUUGAAUCAGUACUAGUACUUAUUGUGGGGGUGAAAGUAUGAAUAAAUAGUACUAAAGUUACAUGAAGUACUAGUAGUACUGUAAUGCUUUGAGAAUAAAUUAAUAGGAUUUGGUUUGACACCAUGAUUAAUAUUGUAAUCGAGCUCGAUCGAUCGAGCUUCCUUUGCAGUAUCCAUGCAAACAUAUAUGUAAAAUAUGCUGUACGUGUGCCAAUAAAUUAAAAAAUCGAGCCGAUCACUGACAUAGUUUUGGUCGGUUAGUGAUCCUAAUUAAUACAUCAAGU
Juglans regia (Persian walnut) is the source of this 592-nucleotide long non-coding RNA. RefSeq lists it as uncharacterized. The record is from RefSeq and is a predicted model, not a curated record. NCBI's taxonomy places the organism in Eukaryota, Viridiplantae, Streptophyta, Magnoliopsida, Fagales, Juglandaceae. The transcript has 2 exons.